This 497-nucleotide ribosomal RNA is filed under the name uncultured bacterium. Its description in RNAcentral is "partial 16S ribosomal RNA". It matches the Rfam family "Bacterial small subunit ribosomal RNA", at positions 28 to 507 of the family's 1533-position model. The record is from RNAcentral.
GACGAACGCUGGCGGCGUGCCUAAUACAUGCAAGUUGAGCGCUGAAGGUUGGUACUUGUACCAACUGGAUGAGCAGCGAACGGGUGAGUAACGCGUGGGGAAUCUGCCUUUGAGCGGGGGACAACAUUUGGAAACGAAUGCUAAUACCGCAUAAAAACUUUAAACACAAGUUUUAAGUUUGAAAGAUGCAAUUGCAUCACUCAAAGAUGAUCCCGCGUUGUAUUAGCUAGUUGGUGAGGUAAAGGCUCACCAAGGCGAUGAUACAUAGCCGACCUGAGAGGGUGAUCGGCCACAUUGGGACUGAGACACGGCCCAAACUCCUACGGGAGGCAGCAGUAGGGAAACUUCGGCAAUGGACGAAAGGCUGACCGAGCAACGCCGCGGGAGUGAAGAAGGGUUUCGGAUCGUAAAACUCUGUUGGUAGAGAAGAACGUUGGUGAGAGUGGAAAGCUCAUCAAGUGACGGUAACUACCCAGAAAGGGACGGCUAACUACGUG